AGCAGCCGCACACACGUUGUUGGAUUGAAACCUGUGGAUUUAUUUCCUGUGAGCGCCAGAGAUUGUUGGACCGUUCACCCUCACGUUCACCAUAUGGGACAAGUAAACACACACAAGAAUGAACGAGUGUCAAUAACGUGGCGUAAUAACAUACCAAGAAGAAAUACCCUUGUCUAACGCCCCUGACUGAUUGCUGGCGUGGUGGCGGGCUCCUCCCCUCACACCGCAGCGGGAUGCCUGGAACACAAGCCCCGCACAGCUCUCCACGCACCGGCUCGUUAGCACCACACUAAACCAACCCAGAACCUGACCCUGAAAAUUGGCCUUCCACUCUUCCCUCUCGCAACAUUUUAUUUCUUUCUCUCAUUUGUUCUUCCCUUCCAUUCUCCCACUCUGCUCUUCUUCGCUCUUCCGUGUUCUUUUAAAUCUUGACAUUUGAAUUCCUCUUGUCUGUUCGAGUGAAGCAAAUAGGACUUUGCUUCGUUCAGAGUUCAAGUACUAUAGGGUUGUACCAUUGCCAACAAAACCUUUUUCGCCGUGCUUUUAUCAAGAGAUCUCAAAUUUUCCGUGGUAUUAUUCAUUUCAGCUUAGGCUCCAGCACACUUGAACACUGUAUGGUUUCAGUGCAAGACAAAUAUAUAAUGCUAUCUAUCUAGUUGCUAUCGUGUAUAGUUUUUAAUCAGCAGGAAGCAGAAAGCAAAGGUGAAUGAGUGAAAAGUGAGAAAAAGAUAUUUUUCCUUGAUCAGAACAACUUAAUAUGUUUUCUUCCCCAAAUCGCCUUCAGUUACACAAGACCGCUAACCUAACCCUACAAUGACGCAACAUACUGGCAAUAAAAAAAAAGAGGAAAAGCAGCGUUUCAAUACGUCCUGAGAGCAAGACAGAUCCUGGAAGGUUGGACUCGACUGGACUCAGCUCUCUGGACGUCUCUUACUCCUCAACAAAGCGAGGCGAGGCGAGGCGACCAGCGGGGCUCAUAUACCCGACCCCGCCAUUCAGGGGAAAGCCUCCUGAUCCGCUCUGACCGCCUCACGCACUUGCACCGGCUAAGGCAAAGCAAUAAAAGGAAGCAAAAGGAAGACGAUGCUGCUGCUAAACUCAGGAUGAAACUGACCGCACAGGUAUAUCUUCUUCUUUACUUCCCACGACCUGCACACAUUUCUAAAAGGCAAGGCAAGGGAAGGUGAACUGAAGCGAAAAGAUGAAAAUAAGUAAAGGGAGAGAAGUGUACGUUAUUUAUUUAUUUUUUUUCCGAGAUGCACUUUCAUUAUUAUUUUCUUCCUUAGGCAUGUGCGUUCGAUUCCAGAUACAUUUACAAAAGGUAAGGGAGGAGGAGGUGGAGUAAAGCAGAAAGAUGAAAAUAAGUAAAAGAGAAAGAUAUAUAUAAGGAAAAUAACAAGAUGCACUUUUGUUAUAUAUUUUUUUUCCUUAGACACAAUAAGCACUUGUUUUUAGAUACAUUUCGAAACAGAAUAGGAGUGAAGCGAAAAAUUAAAAUGAGACAAGGGAGAACGAUAUAUUUCUGUUUAUAUUUCCUAACCUAGACGUGUGCAUGUAUUUUUAGAAGCUCGUACCUACAUUUCAAGAGGGAAUAGAAAAUGGAAGGAAGAAAAAGAUGGAAGAAAAAAAGAACAAAAAUGUUUUUACGUUAUCAGUGAAGGGAGAAUUGUAUAUGUUAUUAUUUUCCUCCUUAGACUUGAUGGGUUAAUUUUUAGAUACAUACAUUUCAAAAAGGAAUAAACAAUAAAGUGAUAUAUAUUC
This is a long non-coding RNA of Scylla paramamosain (green mud crab), 1761 nucleotides long. RefSeq lists it as uncharacterized. The record is from RefSeq and is a predicted model, not a curated record. The transcript has 3 exons. Lineage: Eukaryota; Metazoa; Arthropoda; Malacostraca; Decapoda; Portunidae.